Molecule: long non-coding RNA, 509 nt
Organism: Oreochromis aureus
Lineage: Eukaryota; Metazoa; Chordata; Actinopteri; Cichliformes; Cichlidae
Exons: 3
Source: RefSeq, a predicted model, not a curated record
UGAAGCUGCAAGUGCUCAGUCCAAGUUGGGCAAGUUGGUGUUUGUAACUUCUUUCUAUGAAAGUCUGAUGUGGGUUCUCUCCUAAACUUCUAUUAGAACGGUGGGAAACAUUGCUCCCGUGAGAACGGUAUAGUGGACUUCAUCGCCACUGACCCACAGUUAUUAGGGUGUGACACGAACUUGUGGACAGAGUACCGAGCUGCUGCUUUGCCCAGUGGAUUUCUGGUUGCGGGAAAAGGACCCGACACAUCAGUGUGUUUUAAUUUGUUUUAAACUGGUGUAAUUCGACGGCCCGACUGCUGCGGCUGUCGAUUGUUUUGUUAUUUUGUUUUAUUUUUUCUGUAUCAGUAGGCACCACAGAUAUUGAUUCUUUUAGUAUUUUAACCCCUUUUUAUAUAUAUAUAUUGUUGUGAACGGUAAAGGCGCAGCAGGGAAAACAAAUCCUUUUUUUUUUUUUUUUGUCUCGCCGCUUUUGCAUGCACAGCGGUGGGCCUGAGUGAAGACGGCAC